AACGUAGGACGCAAGCGUUAUCCGGAAUCAUUGGGCGUAAAGAGCGCGUAGGCGGCCCGAUAAGUCCGCUGUGAAAGUCAAGGGCUCAACCCUUGAAUGCCGGUGGAUACUAUCGGGCUAGAGUCCGGAAGAGGCGAGUGGAAUUCCUGGUGUAGCGGUGAAAUGCGCAGAUAUCAGGAGGAACACCAAUGGCGAAGGCAGCUCGCUGGGACGGUACUGACGCUGAGGAGCGAAAGCGUGGGGAGCGAACAGG
This 253-nucleotide ribosomal RNA is filed under the name uncultured bacterium. RNAcentral's name for it is "partial 16S ribosomal RNA". It matches the Rfam family "Bacterial small subunit ribosomal RNA", at positions 524 to 776 of the family's 1533-position model. The record is from RNAcentral.